This 433-nucleotide ribosomal RNA is filed under the name uncultured bacterium. RNAcentral's name for it is "bacterial SSU rRNA". It matches the Rfam family "Bacterial small subunit ribosomal RNA", at positions 29 to 507 of the family's 1533-position model. The record is from RNAcentral.
AACGAACGCUGGCGGCAGGCUUAACACAUGCAAGUCGAACGCAUCCUUCGGGGUGAGUGGCAGACGGGUGAGUAACACGUGGGAACGUACCCCUUUGUUCGGAAUAACCCUGGGAAACUAGGGCUAAUACCGGAUACGGCCGAGAGGCGAAAGGUUUACCGCAGAGGGAUCGGCCCGCGUCCGAUUAGCUUGUUGGUGAGGUAAUGGCUCACCAAGGCGACGAUCGGUAGCUGGUCUGAGAGGAUGGCCAGCCACAUUGGGACUGAGACACGGCCCAAACUCCUACGGGAGGCAGCAGUGGGGAAUAUUGGACAAUGGGCGCAAGCCUGAUCCAGCCAUGCCGCGUGAGUGAUGACGGCCUUAGGGUUGUAAAGCUCUUUUACCUGGGAAGAUAAUGACGGUACCAGGAGAAUAAGCCCCGGCUAACUUCGUG